RNAcentral lists this ribosomal RNA (403 nucleotides) under uncultured bacterium. RNAcentral describes it as "bacterial SSU rRNA". It matches the Rfam family "Bacterial small subunit ribosomal RNA", at positions 29 to 429 of the family's 1533-position model. The record is from RNAcentral.
AUUGAACGCUGGCGGCAUGCCUAACACAUGCAAGUCGAACGGCAGCACGGCAGUAGCAAUACUGUGGGUGGCGAGUGGCGGACGGGUGAGGAAUACGUCGGAAUCUGCCCAGUCGUGGGGGAUAACUAGCCGAAAGGUUAGCUAAUACCGCAUACGACCGAGAGGUGAAAGCGGGGGACCGCAAGGCCUCGCGCGAUUGGAUGAGCCGACGUCGGAUUAGCUAGUUGGUGGGGUAAAGGCCCACCAAGGCGACGAUCCGUAGCUGGUCUGAGAGGAUGAUCAGCCACACUGGAACUGAGACACGGUCCAGACUCCUACGGGAGGCAGCAGUGGGGAAUAUUGGACAAUGGGCGCAAGCCUGAUCCAGCAACGCCGCGUGUGUGAAGAAGGCCUCGGUUGUAAG